RNAcentral lists this small RNA (954 nucleotides) under Pongo abelii (Sumatran orangutan). RNAcentral describes it as "retained intron". The record is from RNAcentral. Lineage: Eukaryota; Metazoa; Chordata; Mammalia; Primates; Hominidae.
GAAGGGAAGGGCCCUCCCGCUGAGGAGCUGGUCUCCUGAGCCUUGGGAGGUGUGGCUCAGCGCGGCCUGGUCUUUCCCAGGAAUCGUGAGGAAGGCCACACUUGCUGGCCAGCACUGUCUGGAGUGUUCACGAGGCUUUCGCCGUGGCCUAGGCCUCGGCACUCAGAUGUGCUUCAGCCCCCGGGCUCCCUGAUGCACUUUUCCCUCAGGCCAAGGAGAAGAUGAAAGAGGAAUCAUGGCACAUCCAUUUCUUCGAGUAUGGGCGUGGCGUGUGCAUGUACCGCACAGCCAAGACACGGGCACUGGUCCUGAAGGGCAUCCCUGAGAGCCUCCGGGGAGAGCUGUGGCUCCUCUUCUCCGGGGCCUGGAAUGAGAUGGUGACUCACCCCGGGUACUAUGCUGAGCUGGUGGAGAAGUCCACUGGGAAGUACAGCCUGGCCACAGAGGAGAUUGAGCGAGACCUGCACCGCUCCAUGCCCGAGCACCCUGCCUUCCAGAACGAGCUCGGGAUUGCUGCCCUCCGGCGGGUGCUGACUGCCUAUGCCUUCCGAAACCCCACCAUCGGCUACUGCCAGGCAAUGAACAUCGUGACCUCGGUGCUCCUGCUCUACGGCAGUGAGGAGGAGGCCUUCUGGCUCCUGGUGGCCCUGUGCGAGCGCAUGCUGCCCGACUACUACAACACCAGGGUGGUGGGAGCCCUGGUGGACCAAGGCAUCUUCGAAGAGCUCACGAGAGACUUCCUGCCACAGCUCUCGGAGAAGAUGCAGGACCUGGGGGUGAUCUCCAGCAUCUCGCUGUCCUGGUUCCUGACCCUCUUCCUCAGCGUCAUGCCCUUCGAGAGUGCCGUGGUCAUCGUCGACUGCUUUUUCUACGAGGGCAUCAAGGUGAUCCUGCAGGUGGCCCUGGCAGUCCUGGACGCCAACAUGGAGCAGCUGCUGGGCUGCAGCGACGAGG